This 236-nucleotide small RNA is filed under the name Providencia rettgeri. RNAcentral describes it as "Soft rot Enterobacteriaceae Rev 39 5'UTR". The stretch from base 69 to 236 matches the Rfam family "Soft rot Enterobacteriaceae Rev 39 5'UTR", at positions 77 to 249 of the family's 300-position model. From Rfam's summary of the family: From bacteria cultured under starvation conditions. Lineage: Bacteria; Pseudomonadati; Pseudomonadota; Gammaproteobacteria; Enterobacterales; Morganellaceae. The record is from RNAcentral.
UGUCAAAACGAUUUUAAAAUGAUAACUCUAAAUAAUAGAUAAUUAAGAAUAUUGAAAAAGUAAAACUCAUGAACGCAUUUAUCCAAGCAGUUAGCCUAAUUAUUAUUAGCGUGGUGGUGAUUAUUAUCCCACCGUGCGGGGCUGCACUUGGACGACGAAGGCUAAAAUAACAGCCAGAUCUCACGAGAACCCCGCACCGAAAGGCGCGGGGUUUUUUUUGACAUAAAUGUUGAUGA